GAAUGCUGACAUAAGUAACGAUAAAGCGGGUGAAAAGCCCGCUCGCCGGAAGACCAAGGGUUCCUGUCCAACGUUAAUCGGGGCAGGGUGAGUCGACCCCUAAGGCGAGGCCGAAAGGCGUAGUCGAUGGGAAACAGGUUAAUAUUCCUGUACUUGGUGUUACUGCGAAGGGGGGACGGAGAAGGCUAUGUCGGCCGGGCGACGGUUGUCCCGGUUUAAGCGUGUAGGUGUGUGCUCCAGGCAAAUCCGGUGCACUUUAACACUGAGGCGUGAUGACGAGGCACUACGGUGCUGAAGUGACAAAUGCCCUGCUUCCAGGAAAAGCCUCUAAGCAUCAGGUAACACGAAAUCGUACCCCAAACCGACACAGGUGGUCAGGUAGAGAAUACCAAGGCGCUUGAGAGAACUCGGGUGAAGGAACUAGGCAAAAUGGUGCCGUAACUUCGGGAGAAGGCAC
Molecule: ribosomal RNA, 457 nt
Filed under: Citrobacter koseri
Lineage: Bacteria; Pseudomonadati; Pseudomonadota; Gammaproteobacteria; Enterobacterales; Enterobacteriaceae
Description: partial 23S ribosomal RNA
Rfam family: Bacterial large subunit ribosomal RNA
Source: RNAcentral